This 402-nucleotide ribosomal RNA is filed under the name bacterium. Its description in RNAcentral is "partial 16S ribosomal RNA". It matches the Rfam family "Bacterial small subunit ribosomal RNA", at positions 355 to 776 of the family's 1533-position model. The record is from RNAcentral.
UGGGGAAUUUUGCACAAUGGGGGAAACCCUGAUGCAGCGACGCCGCGUGAUUUAGAAGGCCUUCGGGUUGUAAAAAUCUUUUCUAUGGGAAGAAAAUGACAGUACCAUAGGAAUAAGGACCGGCUAAUUACGUGCCAGCAGCCGCGGUAAUACGUAAGGUCCGAGCGUUGUCCGGAAUCAUUGGGCGUAAAGGGUACGUAGGCGGGUAAGCAAGUUAGAAGUGAAAUCCUAUAGCUCAACGAUAGUAAGCUUUUAAAACUGCUCAUCUUGAGGUAUGGAAGGGAAAGUGGAAUUCCUAGUGUAGCGGUGAAAUGCGCAGAUAUUAGGAGGAAUACCGGUGGCGAAGGCGACUUUCUGGCCAUAACCUGACGCUGAGGUACGAAAGCGGGGGUAGCAAACAGG